This is a non-coding RNA of Rattus rattus (black rat), 441 nucleotides long. NCBI's taxonomy places the organism in Eukaryota, Metazoa, Chordata, Mammalia, Rodentia, Muridae. The record is from the annotation of a RefSeq genome assembly.
AUGGGCUCUGGGCUCUUCUUGGUGGUUUUGAGUCUCCUGUGUGCAAAACACAUGGAGGCUGCAGUCACCCAAAGCCCAAGAAACAAGGUGGCAGUAACAGGAGGAGAGGUGACAUUGAGCUGUCGCCAGACUAAUAACCACGACUACAUGUACUGGUAUCGACAGAACCUGGGGCAUGAACUGAGGCUGAUCCAUUACUCAUAUGAUGUUAACCGCACUGAGAAAGGAGAUGUCCCCAAUGGGUACAAGGUCUCAAGACCAAGCCAAGAGGACUUCUCUCUCAUUCUGGAGUCAGCUUCUCUCUCUCAGACAGCUGUGUACUUCUGUGCCAGCAGUUAUACACAGCAAUGCAUGGCCUCCUCCCCUCUGCACAUAAAGCAAAUAGGGAAAACUAGUUGCCUGUGUGCCCUAGGAAGUCCCUGCCUCUCUAAGAGUCACUGA